This 531-nucleotide ribosomal RNA is filed under the name uncultured bacterium. RNAcentral describes it as "bacterial SSU rRNA". It matches the Rfam family "Bacterial small subunit ribosomal RNA", at positions 777 to 1304 of the family's 1533-position model. The record is from RNAcentral.
AAUAGAUACCCCGGUAGUCCACGCUGUAAACGGUGGGUACUAGGUGUGGGGUCCAUUCCACGGGUUCCGCGCCGUAGCUAACGCUUUAAGUACCCCGCCUGGGGAGUACGGCCGCAAGGCUAAAACUCAAAGGAAUUGACGGGGCCCCGCACAAGCGGCGGAGCAUGCGGAUUAAUUCGAUGCAACGCGUAGAACCUUACCUGGGUUUGACAUGGAUCGGGAGUGCUCAGAGAUGGGUGUGCCUCUUUUGGGGUCGGUUCACAGGUGGUGCAUGGCUGUCGUCAGCUCGUGUCGUGAGAUGUUGGGUUAAGUCCCGCAACGAGCGCAACCCUUGUUCACUGUUGCCAGCACGUUAUGGUGGGGACUCAGUGGAGACCGCCGGGGUCAACUCGGAGGAAGGUGGGGAUGACGUCAAGUCAUCAUGCCCCUUAUGUCCAGGGCUUCACGCAUGCUACAAUGGCUGGUACAGAGAGUGGCGAGCCUGUGAGGGUGAGCGAAUCUCGGAAAGCCGGUCUCAGUUCGGAUUGGGGU